RNAcentral lists this ribosomal RNA (128 nucleotides) under Shewanella xiamenensis. RNAcentral's name for it is "partial 23S ribosomal RNA". The stretch from base 1 to 109 matches the Rfam family "Bacterial large subunit ribosomal RNA", at positions 2806 to 2925 of the family's 2925-position model. Lineage: Bacteria; Pseudomonadati; Pseudomonadota; Gammaproteobacteria; Alteromonadales; Shewanellaceae. The record is from RNAcentral.
UAUAAGUCCACUAAAGAGCCGUUCGAGACUAGGACGUUGAUAGGUCAGGUGUGUAAGCGUUGUGAGGCGUUGAGCUAACUGAUACUAAUGACUCGAGAGGCUUAACCAUACAACCCAGAUGGGUUUUG